RNAcentral lists this ribosomal RNA (565 nucleotides) under uncultured bacterium. RNAcentral describes it as "bacterial SSU rRNA". It matches the Rfam family "Bacterial small subunit ribosomal RNA", at positions 11 to 569 of the family's 1533-position model. The record is from RNAcentral.
GUUUGAUCCUGGCUCAGAUUGAACGCUGGCGGCAUGCCUUACACAUGCAAGUCGAACGGCAGCACGGGAGCUUGCUCCUGGUGGCGAGUGGCGAACGGGUGAGUAAUACAUCGGAACGUACCCAGGAGUGGGGGAUAACGUAGCGAAAGUUACGCUAAUACCGCAUAUUCUGUGAGCAGGAAAGCGGGGGAUCGCAAGACCUCGCGCUCUUGGAGCGGCCGAUGUCGGAUUAGCUAGUUGGUGAGGUAAAAGCUCACCAAGGCGACGAUCCGUAGCAGGUCUGAGAGGAUGAUCUGCCACACUGGGACUGAGACACGGCCCAGACUCCUACGGGAGGCAGCAGUGGGGAAUUUUGGACAAUGGGGGCAACCCUGAUCCAGCCAUGCCGCGUGAGUGAAGAAGGCCUUCGGGUUGUAAAGCUCUUUCGGCGGGGAAGAAAUGGCAACGGCUAAUAUCCGUUGUUGAUGACGGUACCCGCAUAAGAAGCACCGGCUAACUACGUGCCAGCAGCCGCGGUAAUACGUAGGGUGCGAGCGUUAAUCGGAAUUACUGGGCGUAAAGCGUG